UAAAAUACGUAUAUGUUCUAACAUUUGUCCUUUUUAAUUUAUAAGGUUUUCAUUGUCUUUUCUUAAAAUUUCAUUAGCGUGAUUUAUUAUUUUAAAAGCUUCGGUCAUGGAAGAAAAAUGAUCACAAAAUAUAAUUUUGUCUGUGUCUUUUUUCAUAUUAUAUUGGGGAACUUCUUUUAUAUAUGUUCUUAGAGCUAGAGUAAUGUAAUAGUUUGGCUCU
RNAcentral lists this long non-coding RNA (220 nucleotides) under Capsicum annuum. Its description in RNAcentral is "long non-coding RNA (CANN_LNC015682)". The record is from RNAcentral. Lineage: Eukaryota; Viridiplantae; Streptophyta; Magnoliopsida; Solanales; Solanaceae.